GGCAAGGGGAGGAGGAGGGCUGGAGCAAGGCAUUGUGGGAGUGGGAGAGGAAGGCUCAGUCCAGCUUGGCCUAGUUCCUGGGGGCAGAAAAAGCCCCAAGGGAUGAAAGGGGGGCUUCUUUUAUCUCACCUUCUAGAGGCAAGGAGGGGGCGCCCCUCUUCAGCAACCCUGGCCUGUAUUCUAUGCACACUUUCUGUUAGGGUCCCCCAGGCCAGGGGUGGGGGCCCAGAGGCACUGCAAUAAUCUCAGCGUGGAGGGUACCCAGGGACAAAGAGAACAGCACCAGGUGGGCAAAGGAUAUCCCUCCGUUUCCCCAGCACCCCAAUCCCAGAAGCUAACCCAGCCUAAUGGAACCUUCUUCUUGCCUCUCUCCACUGGGCUACACCACCCAGCUCCACGGGGCCUCAUAUGAACCCCCAUGGCUUUCCAAACCAGUCAUCAAAUAGUGAAGGGCCCUGAAGCAUUCCCAGGCUUCCCCAGGGUCCCACAGUUCAGGGGAUUCAUUUCUUGAUGAAGGAUUCAUUUUGCCACCUUAAAUUAACUUUGAGCUUCUGGCUGUGGGUAAAUGCUCCCAAGGCCUCAAGUUAGCUUCCAGGGCUUGAGGGUAGCGGAAUUUCUGUAUCCUAUUGGAUCGCUUAGUACGAAAUUCUCAAAAGCACUCAUGGAUGCCCUUUCCGGUCUCCAUAGACCCUCAGGCAGGAUCCGGGACCCCAAGUUGAGAAUCAGUGGCUUAAUUAUCCAGCAUCCUACUUUCUUUACAGAAGGGGCAGUUCCAGAGAUAGGAGGUGAUCUUCCCAGGGUCACACAGCAAAUUGGUGGCAGGGUGGGCCCAGACCCAGGUCAUAUGGGAAGGGAUCCCACCAGAAUACCCCCAGCUCCGAUCCCUGCUACCUUUUCUCCAGGAACCACUAGCCAUGCCUGAGGGACUGAUUUCCCUCUGUCAAUCAGCACAAUCCUGGUGACUCUCUCCUCUGUGUUCUUCCUUCCCUCCCUCUGCAGCCCCCACCCUGCCCACUGUUUCCUAUUCCUGGCCGCCUCUGCCCACCCCGUAGUUACUACAUCUGUGCCAUUCCCAAUCCUCCCACUCCCACUCGCCCUUCUGAGCUUCCCCCAGGAGGGGGAGGGGAGCCCAAGCUGGGGCUUCUGUACUGAGACUCUUUUGUACACCACAAACUUUUUGUAUAUUUUUAAUUUUGCUGCAACAUGAGAUAUUAAAAG
Molecule: long non-coding RNA, 1218 nt
Filed under: Marmota monax (woodchuck)
Lineage: Eukaryota; Metazoa; Chordata; Mammalia; Rodentia; Sciuridae
Source: RNAcentral